This 679-nucleotide ribosomal RNA is filed under the name uncultured Vibrionaceae bacterium. RNAcentral describes it as "bacterial SSU rRNA". It matches the Rfam family "Bacterial small subunit ribosomal RNA", at positions 8 to 671 of the family's 1533-position model. The record is from RNAcentral. Lineage: Bacteria; Pseudomonadati; Pseudomonadota; Gammaproteobacteria; Vibrionales; Vibrionaceae.
AGAGUUUGAUCAUGGCUCAGAUUGAACGCUGGCGGCAGGCCUUACACAUGCAAGUCGAGCGGAAACGAGAGGUGCUUGCACCUCGGCGUCGAGCGGCGGACGGGUGAGUAAUGCCUAGGUAGUUGCCUGACAGAGGGGGACAACCAUUGGAAACGAUGGCUAAUACCGCAUAAUCUUUUACCUUGUAAAAGCAAAGCAGGGGACCUUCGGGCCUUGCGCUGUUAGAUACGCCUAGGUGAGAUUAGCUAGUUGGUAAGGUAAUGGCUUACCAAGGCGACGAUCUCUAGCUGGUCUGAGAGGAUGAUCAGCCACACUGGAACUGAGACACGGCCCAGACUCCUACGGGAGGCAGCAGUGGGGAAUAUUGCACAAUGGGCGAAAGCCGGAUGCAGCCAUGCCGCGUGUGUGAAGAAGGCCUUAGGGUUGUAAAGCACUUUCAGUGGUGAGGAAGGGCGUAGAGUUAAUACCUUUGCGCUUUGACGUUAGCCACAUAAGAAGCACCGGCUAACUCCGUGCCAGCAGCCGCGGUAAUACGGAGGGUGCGAGCGUUAAUCGGAAUUACUGGGCGUAAAGCGCAUGUAGGUGGUUAAUUAAGUCAGAUGUGAAAGCCCGGAGCUUAACUUCGGAAGGUCAUUUGAAACUGGUUUACUAGAGUGCUGUAGAGGGGGGUAGAAUUUCA